UACGGUUUUCAUCUAUAACUAGUUCGUCUCGAUAAUCAUUCCUAAAGUAAUCACAAUCAGUUGUCCAUCUAAAUCGUCACUUUCAACAUCGAAUCACCAUCUAUUCAACGAAAACAAUGGUGUUGAAACAUAGCGCGCAUCUUUAUCAGGAGUGGCAAAUGCUUCCCAUGACGCUAAAGACAUUGAAAAACCCUAUGUUUACAGAGAACGACAACAAAAGUCUCAGGUUGAUUUACAUAUUUAGGGGUUGCGGUAAUCAUUUUUUUUUGUGAAAAUUAGGGUUUUGUAUAAGUAUCAAAUCAUUGUGUUGUUAAUUUUGGUGUGUAGGAUGCUAUCAUUAUAUUUAAUUAAAUGUUUCUUCUGUUUGUGUUGCAGCGAAUUUUCAAGCUCUCUGCACAUGUAACUUAUGUUUCGGAUAUUAGUAGAUUUGUAGAAUGUGAGAUACACAUACAUGAAGUUGUUUUAAUUCUAGAAUCUAACUUUAUAUUGGGAUUAGGUGAAUUUGGCACGUGUGUUGGUGGAAAACCCUUACAUUACAAGGGAACACCAUUCCAUUGUAUCAUACUUACCCAGGUACAUGAUUCAAGGUGUCGAUGGGAUGGUAAUCGAACCCGAACCCGAUGGGUAAACCCGAAACCCGACACAUUUGGGAUGGCUUUGGGGUUGGUUAAUCGGGUUUGGGAAUAGUUUUUAUUUUUUUCGCGGGUUUGGGAUGGGUUUGGGAUUUGGUGAUAAGCCCGUUUACCCGAUAAAGUGUACCCAUUUACCCGAAUGUAUACCCGAUAUAAUUUCUUUAAUAUUAUUAAAUAUGCAUAUAUAUAAUACAUUCAUUUUUUAUACAUAUAGGUAUUUUAUUCCGUAUACAUUGUAGUUAUUUGAUAUAUUUUUAUUGUGAUAAUACUAAAUGUAACCGAUUAGUAAUGGUACCCGAUAGAUACCCGAUGGGUUUUGGGUUGGGUAUACCCAACGGGUUAUCUAUUUGAGUUAACGGGUUAAGCCGAAACCUGCGGGUAUACCCGAUACCCGAUGGGUAUUUACCCGCUAGAAACGCGACGGGUUUUGGGACGGGUUUGGGAUAAGCUUAUCUAAUCGGGUUUGGGGUUGGGAUUACCUAAAGCCGUCCCAAACCCGACCAUUAAUGAGAGAUGUAAUUAAUCCAAAUCAUUCACCAAACUAUUAGACCUAUGCAUGUUAACAGCAAUUAUGUAAUAUAAUAAAGUCACAUUUGAUGGCAAUCGUAUUACGAUUAUACAAUAACUAUUAUAUACAUCAUUGGAUAGCUCUAUAAAUAGGGAUUAUGUGAUAUGGUUAUGUAUGCUUAUUUGACACCCCCUGCAUAAUUGUUUACUCGGCUUGUACUCAAGCAAGACAUUUACUCGCACAUGUACUUACUGCUAGAAUUUUUUGUUCGUGACUGACACCAUUAUCCAUUAUUACCUUUCUAGAGUUUUUAUAGAAUAUCUUUGAAUCUGUAUUAUGUUUUCAAAGUGUUGCUGCAAGGCUGGCACAAGAAAUGAACUUGGGGAGGGAGUUGGUUAUAGAAUUUGGUUUGAAGAUGUGAUAAAUUCAAUGAUUUUAAGUUCAAAUAAUCUUAACAUGUAUAAACCAAAAAAAAUAUUAAAAAAUUGAAGAAACCAAGUUUGCACUGUGGAUUUUACUUUGAUGCUAUGAAGGUCAAGAGUGUCUAUAUUUAUCCUUUAGUUAGUGUAGGACUUGACAAGAGUUUUUCAUAGUUGGAGUGUUAAGGGAAAUGAUGGAUGAUCCUCUCCUUAGAAAAAACAUGCAAGUAUUUUAAGCAACUUAUGUUUAUUUUCUUAAUGAUUGACUUUUUAGAUGCAACCGAUUUGCACUUAAUUAUUGCUUCAGUCACAACUGAAGCCCAUGGCUGCAUUUUUUCCAAACCAGGUUCUCUAAUUAGAACAGUGACUUAAUUUAAUGGUUAAGCUCUAUUAAUUAAUUACUUCGAUCAAGAAUUACGGCUAAUGUAUUGCAACUUUGUAUAUUCAUUAGAAAAAAGGAGCCUUGAUUGGUUGGAGAAGAUAGUGGGUUGCAGACAAAAUUUACAAUUUCGUCUGUUGAGGUAUGUUGUAGGAAAAUCCAACGAUAUUAUACAAUAAAACAUAUAAGUUAACCUCUGUGCAGUCAAUCUCGGCGAUAUAUCGGUUAUCGGACCUGGGCCAAAAUAUCUGUUUAAAAUAUCGGAUAUAAUAUCGGUAGCAAGAAUAUCGGCGAUAUAUACCGAGAUAUCGCCGAUAUUUUGUGAUUCUUAUAUCGGUCGUAUCGGCGAGAAUAUCGGUAGGCCCAUUUCAUUUAUGUUAUUUUUUGCCCAAAUAUUGUAACCUUAAUCUGUGAAUCAUACUAUCUUUGUAUCGCACACCAUUCACACGAGAAUGCUGAAACCCUAAUUGUCCCUCCCAAGCUGUUGCGCUACUCUUUCAAGAGUGAUGUCAAUUUAUGAUAAAGAGCCAAAUGGGGAUAUUGAUAUACUUGUCUUUUUAACCGGUGAAGAUGAUAUUGAUACUGCAGUUCGGUUAAUCAGAGAAGAAGCCCAAAACAGUGACAAGUUUUCUUUAGUCUCCGAAUAAGGAUGCGCAUACGUUCGUCAGAUGGUUGCAAGUUGUUCAUAUUCAAAAAAAAGUGGAGAAUCCUUAAGCAACGGUUGAAGGUUUCCUUGAACCAGUCCACCACGCAAUGGGACUAUGCUCUCUUUUCUCAGUCCAUAAUGGUUGAAAAGAUGUGAAAAUCAGAUUCACCUCCUCACACCAGUCCAUAUAAAAGAUAUCUAGAAGUUAUAAUGUUACAGGUGAAUAAGAGACGAAUAUAUGAUAUAACAAAUGUUCUUGAAGGCAUUUACUUCAAAAGCAUCCAGUUAAACUGACACCUACACUUCUGUUUGAUAUGUUCAUUUAUGUCGAAACUUAGAAGACCAGCAGUCCUAGAGGUGAAACUCUUGAUGUGAAAAACUCAAUCGUAGGGACCAAUUAGAAUGGUGAUGAGAGACAAGUCAAGGAGCCACCGACUUAACGAGCCAAGCACAACAUGAUCAUCGCCAGCUGCCACUAUUCUCCAAAUCUGGAAAAGUUAGUUGGGAGUUUAUCACAUCAAGUGGAGAGAAUUGACACUUAGAAGUGUGCAAUUCAAGUUGAUUAUGAAAUAUAUUGUUGAAUGGACCUGUGUCAAUUGUAAGCUAUUGAUUUUGUUUAUAUUCAAAGUUUUUUUUUUCA
Helianthus annuus (common sunflower) is the source of this 3224-nucleotide long non-coding RNA. RefSeq lists it as uncharacterized. The record is from RefSeq and is a predicted model, not a curated record. The transcript has 5 exons. NCBI's taxonomy places the organism in Eukaryota, Viridiplantae, Streptophyta, Magnoliopsida, Asterales, Asteraceae.